RNAcentral lists this transfer RNA (64 nucleotides) under Maoricicada lindsayi. Its description in RNAcentral is "tRNA-Leu". Lineage: Eukaryota; Metazoa; Arthropoda; Insecta; Hemiptera; Cicadidae. The record is from RNAcentral.
UCUAGUAUGGCAGAUUAGUGCAAUGAAUUUAAGAUUCAUAUAUAAAAUAUUAUUUUUAUUAGAA